GCUCUUGUCUUCAUCCUCUCUCCAGCUCUCCCUGUGUUGCUGGCAAGUAGUUUCCUCCUGCCCUGCCUUCUGCCUGCAUGGCUGUAACACCUCCCACCUGGCAAUCAUACCUCUGCUGGAUGCUGUGUCUGAGCUGAACGGGCUUGCUUUUCCCACACCCCAAAACUCGCCACCUCCAUCUCCCCCUUCCGCCUGAGCUGCUGGUGGAAACAGCAGGGAACUGUGUGCCAUGCCUUGCCUUCUCUUGG
This is a long non-coding RNA of Empidonax traillii (willow flycatcher), 248 nucleotides long. RefSeq lists it as uncharacterized. The transcript is spliced from 4 exons. Lineage: Eukaryota; Metazoa; Chordata; Aves; Passeriformes; Tyrannidae. The record is from RefSeq and is a predicted model, not a curated record.